GUUCCAGAAGACCUGUAUGAUCCUUUGGAGAAAGAUAAAUCAGGGGUGCUCGAUGAUCGACUAGAGAAAUAUUGGCGUCAAGAAGUGGCGAAAUCCAAAAAAUAUAACCGCCAACCGGACCUCGGGAAAACUUUAUUUCGAUGUUUCCUAGGGGAGUUCAUGAUCCUUAGACUUCUGCAUACUGUAAAUAAAUGCCUCAGAUUAUGCACCCCAGUAUUGAUUGGAAACCUACUACUCUACUUCAAAGAAGAUACAGAUGUAUCUUACAAUACAGCACUGUUGUUUGCAG
Diachasma alloeum is the source of this 289-nucleotide long non-coding RNA. RefSeq lists it as uncharacterized. The record is from RefSeq and is a predicted model, not a curated record. The transcript is spliced from 3 exons. Lineage: Eukaryota; Metazoa; Arthropoda; Insecta; Hymenoptera; Braconidae.